GACGAACGCUGGCGGCGUGCUUAACACAUGCAAGUCGAACGGAAAGGCCCUGCUUUUGUGGGGUGCUCGAGUGGCGAACGGGUGAGUAACACGUGAGUAACCUGCCCUUGACUUUGGGAUAACUUCAGGAAACUGGGGCUAAUACCGGAUAGGAGCUCCUGCUGCAUGGUGGGGGUUGGAAAGUUUCGGCGGAUGGGCAUGGACUCGCGGCUUAUCAGCUUGUUGGUGGGGUAGUGGCUUACCAAGGCUUUGACGGGUAGCCGGCCUGAGAGGGUGACCGGCCACAUUGGGACUGAGAUACGGCCCAGACUCCUACGGGAGGCAGCAGUGGGGAAUAUUGCACAAUGGGCGGAAGCCUGAUGCAGCAACGCCGCGUGCGGGAUGACGGCCUUCGGGUUGUAAACCGCUUUCGCCUGUGACGAAGCGUGAGUGACGGUAAUGGGUAAAGAAGCACCGGCUAACUACGUG
Molecule: ribosomal RNA, 468 nt
Filed under: uncultured bacterium
Lineage: Bacteria
Description: partial 16S ribosomal RNA
Rfam family: Bacterial small subunit ribosomal RNA
Source: RNAcentral